UUAGAUGUAGGCCUACCAUCAGCAGAGAUACAAUACUGUUGCUUGCAUGUCCUCUUGUUAUAAUAUUAAUAAAUCUGGAAAAAAGAAACUUGGCAUUUUAUUUAAAAUUUGAGAACUUAGCACAAAUUGAUAAUUAGAUUUGUACAAAAGCAUGCCUGUCGAAAUUCACGUUUGUUGAUCAUCGGGCCAAGAAUCGCUGACAGUCAAAAGUUUAUGCCCUAUUGAACGAUCAGUAAUUCGUCUUCCCACAAAAUAAUAUCAUGAGCCAGUUGUCUUUCAAGGCAAAAGAAAAAAUUUUUUUUUUUACUUUGGUUUGAUUUAUGCAAGAUUGGGUAGAUUCUUUUUUCUCAUAUGUUGUUAUCUGUAUAAUAAAAAAUAGAGAGGACAAAGACAGCUUCACCUUAUGCGGCGAGAAGUAGAACGCUUUUGAUUGCUGCCUAUGAAUGGGAUUGUAAAGGCUGAGCAAUUUCUUAAGCAAUAUAUGUGUUCCCACAAUUGAUGAACCAGAAUUAAGCGCAAUAUCUUUAACCAGAACUUUUUUUUUCUUUCUAUCACUUUAGAUAAAAGCCACCAACAACAAUAUUCUUUAGCAGUGUUGGCAGGAUUUGAUAGGGCACGACUGGUGUUCCGUUAUUGGGAAUCUGACUGGUUUUUAUUGCAAUUCUAGACCAGUUUCUAGGGUCAUUAUUUCAACAGCUAAAAUGCUAGGAAUUUUUUUUUUUUUUUUUUAACUUUUAAAUGAGCAGUAGUAGCGGUAUGCUUGUCCUUGCAGAUAACAUGUCCGUUUGGAUAGACUGAAGUGAGGAAAAAAGCCUCAAGUUCAAUUCCUAUUUGCCCAGUUUUGUUCAAUCUUUUAGAGCAUAAUGUCUGUUGUUCAAUGGAACUAUACCAGAGCAGCAGCAGUGGCGGAUCCAAGUGAAAAGGUAGGGUAUCCAUGGAAAACAAGAAAAUUAAAAAAAUUAAAAUUCAAUGGACACCCCACAGUUUUUCCCUGAACAUCCUUUCCAUCUGUUAAAAUUUUUUUGGUAAUACUUCAUAUAUAUUAUAAGUUGACAUCUAAAAAAAAAUCCUGAAUCCGCCGUUUGUCCAGCAGUAAAUAGAAGCAUACAAGAUUUUCCCACAGGAUUAACCAAGUAGGCAAGUGGUAUCUGCCCAGUUUCAAAUUCCUGAAGCUUGACUGGCAAUCGAUUUACGAGCAGCCUAAUGGUUGAUAAUUACCCAGAAUACAUUAAAAAUAAUAAUAAUAAUACUCACUGGCUCCCCAUAAAUAUUGCACCUUUGCAUGAUAGAAGAAAGCCUUAAAUCCCAUCUGGGCAUGAAAAAAAGGCCUCAUCGAGCUAUUCGAAGUCCUAUUGAAUAUCAAAUGCUUUUAGACCAAUCCGUUCUGAAGCAAACAUACGUGGCUGAACAAACAUCUCUGGUGGGAUAGACAAGUGUUUGCAAUUUACUUGUUUUAAUCAUAAACGCAUCCCUAGAUUGCAAGGAAUAAAAAAUGUGACAGGUAAGUACGCAAUUGCUACCCCCACACGCUUGCUGCAGCCUGCAGGAUGCCGUUUAUGGGGAAAUUGAAUGGGAAUUUCAAAGACUUUAUUGUAGCUAUUUGCCUGAAAAACAUGCUUUCACUGUUUUGGAACAAUGAGACCAAAUCUGUCAGCAUUUCAGUCCCUUCAAGGCUAGCAAUGCCUGAUCCAAUUUUUUUUUUUUUGUCUAUAGAAAGCAAAAAGUUUCAAAGACCUUCGGCAGGACAUAUUUGCGUAGAGGAUAUUGAUGAGGAACUGUGAGGGGACAAGUUUAUUCUUGGAAUAUACUUCCACAUUGUUGAAAUGACCUGCUUCUUAAUCUAUAGCAAAAGGGAGCAUUCUCAAGCUGCCCAGCUAAGGGGUUUGCAAAAAUAUUUAACCACAUUUGGUAGGGAAUGAGAGAAGUGGAAAUGUGCAAAUAUGCAAAAUCGUUUGGUCCAACAAAUAACUAGAUUUUCUUUUUGUUUGGAGUACACACCCAAAAAAAAAAAAAA
This is a long non-coding RNA of Durio zibethinus, 2014 nucleotides long. RefSeq lists it as uncharacterized. NCBI's taxonomy places the organism in Eukaryota, Viridiplantae, Streptophyta, Magnoliopsida, Malvales, Malvaceae. The record is from RefSeq and is a predicted model, not a curated record.